Molecule: ribosomal RNA, 489 nt
Filed under: uncultured bacterium
Lineage: Bacteria
Description: partial 16S ribosomal RNA
Rfam family: Bacterial small subunit ribosomal RNA
Source: RNAcentral
GACGAACGCUGGCGGCGUGCUUAACACAUGCAAGUCGAACGGUGAAGGGACCAGCUUGCUGGUUCUGGAUGAGUGGCGAACGGGUGAGUAACACGUGAGUAACCUGCCCCCUUCUUCUGGAUAACCGCAUGAAAGUGUGGCUAAUACGGGAUAUUCUGGGUCUGUCGCAUGGCGGGCCCGGGAAAGAUAUUGCUUCGGUGGGGGAUGGGCUCGCGGCCUAUCAGCUUGUUGGUGGGGUGAUGGCCUACCAAGGCGGUGACGGGUAGCCGGCCUGAGAGGGUGGACGGUCACACUGGGACUGAGGCACGGCCCAGACUCCUACGGGAGGCAGCAGUGGGGAAUAUUGCACAAUGGGCGCAAGCCUGAUGCAGCGACGCCGCGUGAGGGAUGGAGGCCUUCGGGUUGUAAACCUCUUUCGCCAGUGAAGCAGGCCUGCUCCUUGUGGGUGGGUUGACGGUAGCUGGAUAAGAAGCGCCGGCUAACUACGUG